GCCAGGACACAAGGCCGGCGGCGAGGGACGACGCAGCCGAGGCGGGCGACCAAGAGCACGAGACGGAGGAGGAGAAGAACUACUGGAACAGUAUACUGAACCUGGUCAACUCGUCUGCGUCAGUGGUGGUGCCCGCCGACGAGGCGUACUCGCCGGCGCCAGAGUUCUGAGUGGUACUGGUGGCGACCUCUGCACAUGCCUUGCCGGCAUGCACCCGAGACCCCACCAGGCAAAUGACACAGUAAAUAGUUAUUAGCGGUGACCGUGGAAUAAGAUGGGACUAAUGCUAGUACUACUACAGUUAAUCGCGUUCUUGGGUUUAUCUGACACAGUGCUCUCUGAUUAGACGUGCGAGCAAGAAGGAUUUAUAGAUGUUGGAGCUUGUUGCCUGCUUCCUUGGGCAAAAUUUCUUACUCUACAUGUUCUGUAAAACUAAGACAAUGAUCUCGGAAUUUCUUCUUCUUCUUAUGUUGGAAAGAACAAUGCCCGAUGAUUUAUCUACUUGAUUAUUGUAAUUUUAGGACAUCUUCAACGUAGAUCCGCAAACCUCCAGCAACUGUCCGAACUACAGUCUAUGAUUUUGUCUACUUGAUUAUUGUAAUCUCAAGACAUCUUUAGCGCAGAUUCGUAGACCUCCAACAACGGUCCGAACUACGUGGUUCGGGCCGUGAAAGUCAUCUAACACGG
Molecule: long non-coding RNA, 687 nt
Filed under: Hordeum vulgare
Lineage: Eukaryota; Viridiplantae; Streptophyta; Magnoliopsida; Poales; Poaceae
Description: long non-coding RNA (HVUL_LNC004967)
Source: RNAcentral